GUUCUGGUUUCUCUUCGGAGUCUAUAAAUCUUUUGCCUUUUACUAAAGACUUCCAUGGAAAGGAAAAAUUGUAAGAUACUCACUUGAGUUGCUAUUAAAAAGUAAUAACGUAUUUUA
Molecule: small nuclear RNA, 117 nt
Organism: Eptesicus fuscus (big brown bat)
Lineage: Eukaryota; Metazoa; Chordata; Mammalia; Chiroptera; Vespertilionidae
Product: U5 spliceosomal RNA
Exons: 1
Source: RefSeq, a predicted model, not a curated record